RNAcentral lists this ribosomal RNA (253 nucleotides) under uncultured bacterium. RNAcentral describes it as "partial 16S ribosomal RNA". It matches the Rfam family "Bacterial small subunit ribosomal RNA", at positions 524 to 776 of the family's 1533-position model. The record is from RNAcentral.
UACGUAGGGGGCAAGCGUUGUCCGGAAUCAUUGGGCGUAAAGAGCGUGUAGGCGGUCCGGUCAGUCGGUUGUGAAAGUCAAGGGCUCAACCCUUGAAUGCCGGCCGAUACUGCCGGGCUAGAGUCCGGAAGAGGUGAGUGGAAUUCCUGGUGUAGCGGUGAAAUGCGCAGAUAUCAGGAGGAACACCGGUGGCGAAGGCGGUUCUCCGGGCAUGUCCUGACGCUGAGGAGCGAAAGUGUGGGGAGCGAACAGG